RNAcentral lists this ribosomal RNA (442 nucleotides) under uncultured bacterium. Its description in RNAcentral is "partial 16S ribosomal RNA". It matches the Rfam family "Bacterial small subunit ribosomal RNA", at positions 338 to 795 of the family's 1533-position model. The record is from RNAcentral.
CCUACGUGCGUCUGCAGUGGGGAAUAUUGGGCAAUGGGCGCAAGCCUGACCCAGCAACGCCGCGUGAAGGAAGAAGGCUUUCUGGUUGUAAACUUCUUUUAAUAGGGAAGAUCAGCAGACGGUACCUCUUGCAUCCUCCACGGCUAACUACUUGCCAUCCGCCUCUGUCAUACGUAGGUGGCAAGCGUUGUCCGGAUUUCCUGGGUGUAAAGGGCGUGCAGCCGGGAAGACAAGUCAGAUGUGAAAUCCCGCGGCUCAACCGCGGAACUGCCUUUGAAACUGUUUUUCUUGAGUACCGGAGAGGUCAUCGGAAUUCCUUGCGUAGCGGUGAAAUGCGUAGAUAUAAGGAAGAACACCAGUGGCGAAGGCGGAUGACUGGACGGCAACUGACGGUGAGGCGCGAAAGCGUGGGGAGCAAACAGGAUUAGAUACCCCUGUAGUC